This 277-nucleotide ribosomal RNA is filed under the name uncultured prokaryote. Its description in RNAcentral is "partial 16S ribosomal RNA". It matches the Rfam family "Bacterial small subunit ribosomal RNA", at positions 524 to 801 of the family's 1533-position model. The record is from RNAcentral.
UACGGAGGAUCCGAGCGUUAUCCGGAAUUACUGGGCGUAAAGGGUGCGUAGGUGGUUUCUUAAGUCAGAGGUGAAAGGCUACGGCUCAACCGUAGUAAGCCUUUGAAACUGGGAAACUUGAGUGCAGGAGAGGAGAGUGGAAUUCCUAGUGUAGCGGUGAAAUGCGUAGAUAUUAGGAGGAACACCAGUUGCGAAGGCGGCUCUCUGGACUGUAACUGACACUGAGGCACGAAAGCGUGGGGAGCAAACAGGAUUAGAUACCCGGGUAGUCCCUGAG